RNAcentral lists this ribosomal RNA (641 nucleotides) under Thaxterogaster herpeticus. RNAcentral's name for it is "eukaryotic LSU rRNA". It matches the Rfam family "Eukaryotic large subunit ribosomal RNA", at positions 1 to 626 of the family's 3401-position model. The record is from RNAcentral. Lineage: Eukaryota; Fungi; Basidiomycota; Agaricomycetes; Agaricales; Cortinariaceae.
UGACCUCAAAUCAGGUAGGACUACCCGCUGAACUUAAGCAUAUCAAUAAGCGGAGGAAAAGAAACUAACAAGGAUUCCCCUAGUAACUGCGAGUGAAGUGGGAAAAGCUCAAAUUUAAAAUCUGGCAGUCUCUGGCUGUCCGAGUUGUAAUCUAGAGAAGUGUUAUCCGCGCUGGACCGUGUACAAGUCUCCUGGAAUGGAGCGUCAUAGAGGGUGAGAAUCCCGUCUUUGACACGGACUGCCAGGGCUUUGUGAUGCGCUCUCAAAGAGUCGAGUUGUUUGGGAAUGCAGCUCAAAAUGGGUGGUAAAUUCCAUCUAAAGCUAAAUAUUGGCGAGAGACCGAUAGCGAACAAGUACCGUGAGGGAAAGAUGAAAAGAACUUUGGAAAGAGAGUUAAACAGUACGUGAAAUUGCUGAAAGGGAAACGCUUGAAGUCAGUCGCGUUGGUCAGGGAUCAACCUUGCUUUUGCUAGGUGUACUUUCUGGUUGACGGGUCAGCAUCAAUUUUGAUCAUUGGAAAAAGAUUAGGGGAAUGUGGCAUCCUUGGAUGUGUUAUAGCCCUUGGUUGUAUACAAUGGUUGGGAUUGAGGAGCUCAGCACGCCGCAAGGCCGGGUUUUUACCACGUACGUGCUUAGGAUGC